GGACACACUGUCAGGCGCUCAAGUUCUUGCGGGAUCUUCCUUCCUGCAGUGUGAUACCGUGUUUAAACCGGGUUCGCUGUUUGCUUGCUCACGACUCUUUGAGAAGCUAAUUACGAGCUCCCAGAGCUGCGUGAUUACAUACUCGAUUUUGUUUUUCGGGGUAUUUCUAGCUCUCUCUCUCUCUCUCGUUCACACUUUAGCCGUCUCUCGUGGCGUCGAUCCCCGUUUCGCGUGUCUCUGUCGCCUCUCUUCCGUUGUUGUUGUUGUUUUUUUUUUCACUCUCCUUCUACAUCUCUCCUUCUCUUUUACUCCUCAUAAGCCCGACAGUUUGCGCGCUUCGUCCGAUAUAUCUUUUGGGUUCUGCUUUUUCCUCCUCAACUGUAGCUCUCCUCUUCCCAUCUUAGCACCGCGCAUCCAGCCUGUGUUGUUCGGCACCGUCAUCCCCACCACUGCCUCUCAGAUUCGCUGCUCAGGCGAUCUCAGUAGCGUAACAAGGCACACAUACCCAUACACGCACACGCAGCACUCCCCUCCACCUCCACACCCAUCUCCCCUUCCGAACUUUCAGCCCUCUGAAUCUACUAAGAAUCCACCCUUGAACAAACAAAAAACUGUGUGAAACGCGCCCGCAGUGUGCCGAGCCAUGUUUCCCUCUUGCGCGCGUCGGUUGUGGGCAGCCGGCACGGUGAGCCGCCUCGGCACCACGAGCGCGGCCGACAUAUCGCCACCUCUGAGGGCCACCAGCGCCGCGGCGUACAUGAGAAAGGUAAAUCGCAGGAGCACGACUAGCGGCUUUGCCUGUGGGCUUGCUGCGCCGGUGGGACUGCAUCAGCCGCGGCGCUGGUACUUCAUGUCCACGGCGGCACCGCGGGCGGCGGAGGACAUGCGCAUCUACAAGUCGAAGCUGCCGUCGGUGAUGGACAAGGUGAACCGGGAGACGACGUUGUACGGGUAUCUGAUGAAGCGCAUGGCGGCGGCGGACCCGAAGAAAAUCGCUGCGGUGCAGGCGGAGACGGGCAAGACACUCACGUACCCGGAGCUGAUGAAGGCGACGGAGCACGCGGCGAAAGCACUGCACCAGCAUGGCGUGCGGAAGGGCGACGUUGUGUGCCUGUGCAUGCUGAACACGAUCGUGUACGGCCCGCUGGUGUACGGCACGCUGCGCCUCGGCGCGAUCGCGUCGACGGUGAACGCCGUGGCAACGGCGUCGACGCUGGCGUACCACUUCAAGGCGAACGGUGCGAAGGUGGUGCUGGGCAUGCACUUCUUCCAGAAGCAGCUCGCGGAGGCCGUGGCGCUGGUAGAGCAGGAGACCGGGCGGAAGGUCCAGGUGCUGUACCCGGAGGAGUUCUUCAAGACAGACGCUCCCGAGAUCCCUGCGGACUACGACGGGCUGAAGGGGGCCACGCCGAACGACACCGUGGCCAUCCUCUUCUCGAGCGGCACGACCGGCAUGCCGAAGGGUGUGCAGCUGACGAACCGUGCGCUCAUUGCGUGCUCGGAGCAGUCCGCCAGCGCGUUCGGCGUUGGCUCGCAGGACACCGCCGUGACCGUUCUUCCGCUGUUUCACGUCUUCGGGUUCACGGCGUGCAUGAACUGCAUGUUCGCCUACGCCGCGACGCAGGUGGUGAUGUCCAAGUACUCGGUCGAGGACUACGUGCGCGCGAUUGAGAAGUACAAGGCGACGGUCAACCUCGUCGCCCCGCCGAUCCUCAUCUCGCUGGUGAAGAACGCGGACAAGGUGAAGCGGCACGACCUGUCGUCGCUCAAGCGCUUCUGCUCCUCGUCGGCGCCGCUUGGAGCGGACGUGGUGGACACGGUGGAGCAGCUGAUCCCUGGCUGCGCUGUCACCCAGGGCUACGGCAUGACGGAGAUGGCGCCGACGGUGACGGCACCGCUGUGGGGCCAACGGUGCACGCCAGGCUGCUGCGGGAGCCUGAUACCCGACACGGAGCUACGCAUCGUGAAGGUGGACGACAGCCAGCAGAGCGGCGCGGAUAAGUCUUGCGGCAUCGACGCAGAGCCCGGCGCGGAGGGUGAGGUGUGGGUGCGUGGUCCGCAGAUGAUGAAGGGCUAUUUGCGCGAUGAGGACACGGCCAUGUGCAUGCAGGACGGCUGGUACCGCACUGGCGACAUCGGCAGGAUGCUGGAGACUGACGAGCUGAUGAUCACGGACCGGCUGAAGGAGCUGAUCAAGUACAAGGGCUUUCAGGUGUCGCCGGCUUCCCUGGAGGCGCUCUUGCUGACGCACCCGUGGGUGAAGGACUGCGUGGUGAUUGGCGUGCCGGACCCGCGCGACGUGAGCUUCGAGAACCCGCGUGCGCUCGUCGUGCUGCAGCCCUCUGUGUCCCCAGAGGACGCCGUCCGUGCGUCGGACGAGCUGUACCGCUUCGUGAUGAUAAGCAUGCCCCCGCACAAGCGGCUGCACGGCGGUGUGCGCGUCGUGGACGAGAUUCCUCGCAACGCCGCUGGCAAGGUGAUGCGGCGUCAGGUGCGCCAGGAUGAGGUGGCGCUGCUGAAGGGGCAGAACAGCGAUAGCGGUGCACCAGAGACUACCAAGGAAGGUACCGCUACUACUACCACUGCAGCUGCGUAGUUUGGGAGAUGAUUCAAGGCGAAUAUGCAACAGCCUGUGUGGGUGUGGGUGUCCAAGCCCUCGUGCUCUUUGCGCUACCUGCAUUUUACUCUGCCUCAACGCGAAAGCAGCUUGCCCCUCCCCCUCCUCCGAGUCCCAUCUGCCAGUGCGUUUUCGCGAUGUCAGUGCGUGUGUUUCUCUUUCGUUUUUGUGGUUGCAUUUUGUUGUUGUUUUACGUCUGUGUGCUGUUUGGGGUUGGAACACGUCCCCGCCAUCCGCAGGCUCACUCGCGCUGCUGUUUGCUUUCUUCUCUGCAUCUGGUGGUGUACUUGUUACUUCCGUCUCGCGUAACCGGCACCACCACCACCUUGUCGGGCGGCUCACAUACGUGCUGGUACUGCUGCUUGAGACACCACCCUCUUCCCCACUGCCAACGCCGGCCUUUGUUCGUUCUCUUUUUUUCUGCGCUCUCUUUUCGCCUGCCUUAUACCUCAAUAAUCGAGCUGCUGAUGGUGCGUCGUCCUCUUGUUGUUUGUUCGCUUUUUUUUUCGUAGAGCGCCUGCUGUCCUGUUUUUGUCCCCUGUAGGUAUGUGCAUGUGUGUGUGUCUCAAGUGCUGGAGUGGAUUGCACGGCACUUUCCGUUUUCUCUCCAUCUCUCUGAUGGUGCUAGUUGAUUAAAAAAAAAAGAAGGAGGUGUCUGUGUAUUCGGAUCCCCUCUCUCUGGACCUGAGGCUGUCUGCAUACCGGUAUCAUCGCUUUGCCUUUUCUCCCCCCACCUCCUCCUCCUCCGUCCAGCUCGCUCUCUUUCUCUCUCCAGCGUGGCGUUGCGUCGCCUGUCUUGCUGCUUAUACGCUCGUCCAAAACGAAACAUAUUUUGUUGUUGUUUCCGCCCUCCCCCAUCUUUUCGUUCCCUUUUCAAGUGCCCUUCCCCCUCCCCCCCCCUUUUUUUUUCUUUUUCUCGGCUUCCUGGUUGACGCUUUCUCCCACUUCGCCCCCUCUCCUCAAGACAAUGUGCUUGUGUGCAUGUGUAUGCACAUGUGUGUGUGUGGAGCUAUUUCGAGUGGCGUAAGGGUCUUGCUUCUCUUUUUCACUGCCCUCUGCCACCCCCACCCCUAGCCCCCGUGGGUACUAAUGGGCCCUUAAAGCGUUCGACCAGCUUUUUGCAGUCCCCCUCUCCACCGAGGUGCCUUUCUCUUUGGCGUAUUCCAUCUCACUUUCGCGUUUUAGUUGUUGUUUUCUCGCUUUCUCCUGAUUUGAGUCGCGGCGUUGACAACGAAUGUACCUGGUGUUGUAUGCGUCUUCAUGUCUGUGCCCUCCUGCAACCAAAGGGUGGUUGCGACAGCGACUUCAAUGCUGUAUGAUGAAAUGAACGAAAGGGAUGAGAAAAUGAAAAUGGCAAAAAGCGAAAGCCGUGUCGCGUCGCAACCAACAAAAAAACGUCUGAUGAGCUGUCUCCGUUGACGAGCAGCUCUCUUCCUUUGGGUGCUGCAUCUCUCUCCCCUCCUCCUCCCCCCCCCUAAGUGAGCGGGUAUGCACGCAGUGGCUGUGGUGAUCGCACAUCCCACGCGCUUUUCGAGGCUCGCACGGCGAGCGUGUCGGUCGACAGUAUGAGGCAAGG
This 4193-nucleotide unclassified non-coding RNA is filed under the name Leishmania donovani. RNAcentral describes it as "gene:LdHU3.19.1170(CDS-product:4-coumarate:coa_li gase-like_protein)". Lineage: Eukaryota; Euglenozoa; Kinetoplastea; Trypanosomatida; Trypanosomatidae. The record is from RNAcentral.